CAAUAGCGUAUAUUUAAGUUGUUGCAGUUAAAAAGCUCGUAGUUGGAUUUCGGAUGGGAUUUGCCGGUCCGUCGUUACGAUGUGCACUGGCCAGUCCUAUCUUGUUGUCGGGGACUAGCUCCUUGGAUUCACUUCCUGGGACUAGGAGCUGACGAGGUUACUUUGAGUAAAUUAGAGUGUUCAAAGCAAGCCUACGCUCUGAAUACAUUAGCAUGGAAUAACACGAUAGGACUCUGGCUUAUCUUGUUGGUCUGUGAGACCAGAGUAAUGAUUAAGAGGGACAGUCGGGGGCAUUCGUAUUUCAUUGUCAGAGGUGAAAUUCUUGGAUUUAUGAAAGACGAACUACUGCGAAAGCAUUUGCCAAGGAUGUUUUCAUUAA
RNAcentral lists this ribosomal RNA (379 nucleotides) under uncultured eukaryote. RNAcentral's name for it is "partial 18S ribosomal RNA". It matches the Rfam family "Eukaryotic small subunit ribosomal RNA", at positions 592 to 976 of the family's 1831-position model. The record is from RNAcentral.